This is a long non-coding RNA of Homo sapiens (human), 803 nucleotides long. Ensembl annotates it as SLIT3 antisense RNA 1. Its record names the gene SLIT3-AS1. The record is from Ensembl. Lineage: Eukaryota; Metazoa; Chordata; Mammalia; Primates; Hominidae.
AGUCCUCACCUCCCACAUGCUUUUCAUCACCCGCUCUCACAUCCCAUCUGGGGCCUCUGCUUCCAUCCUACCAUUUCGCAAGCCUGGCCAACUCAAGCUCCGUGUGCUGCACCUAGAGCAGCCCAUCUCUGUGUCAGGGAGGUGAGCUGCUCAGUUGCCAGAGUAUCAACCUGAGCCCAGGACACUGCCAGACUGCUGAGUCAAAGAGGGUUUAGCAGCCCAUUUUCAUAGACAGACAGGUGAGAGGAGGAUGCUGGACAUGGUCCCAGAGACAUGGGGACUCAAGAAACAUGAAGAUCUGUUCACAGCUAAGGGCACAUUUCCAUGCCGAGAAAUCAGGCGUGAGCGCAAGAGUCCUAUCGUCUACCAGAAAAAGAAAUCUUUGGGAGCAUUCAAGGAGGAAUGGCUUCAUGAUGGCAAUGAGCGGCAUCGCCUGAAAGACAGCCUUCGAGAGUCUCCCAGAGCCGCUGAGGAGCAAGGCAGAGAACUGCAAUCCAAGCAAAUGUGGUGGGUGUGAAGCUUUCAAGAAGUUGGGUCAAGAACAAGGACUGAAAGAGGAGCAUCAAUUUGUAAGUUCAGGAAUGUCUGCUCCAUCUUUGCAGAGACAAGCAAAUAUCAGGGACCACCCAAGUCCAUUCAUUGUGAACUAAGUGAAUCAUGACACAACCACACAAUGGAACACCGUGCAGGAUUAUGAUAUACAGACUGCUGAAGAUCUAGAGUUAUUGAUAUGGAAAGAUGCCCAUGAUGUAUUGUUAGCAAAAAAAAUCAGCCUACAAAACAACAUGCAUAGCAUAAUCCUA